RNAcentral lists this ribosomal RNA (554 nucleotides) under uncultured ammonia-oxidizing bacterium. Its description in RNAcentral is "bacterial SSU rRNA". It matches the Rfam family "Bacterial small subunit ribosomal RNA", at positions 198 to 736 of the family's 1533-position model. The record is from RNAcentral.
GGAGGAAAGUAGGGGAUCGAAAGAACUUGCGCUAAAGGAGCGGCCGAUGUCUGAUUAGCUAGUUGGUGGGGUAAAGGCUUACCAAGGCAACGAUCAGUAGUUGGUCUGAGAGGACGACCAACCACACUGGGACUGAGACACGGCCCAGACUCUACGGGAGGCAGCAGUGGGGAAUUUUGGACAAUGGGCGAAAGCCUGAUCCAGCCAUGCCGCGUGAGUGAAGAAGGCUUCGGGUUGUAAAGCUCUUUUAGUCGGAAAGAAAGAAUUAUGACGAAUAAUCAUGAUUUAUGACGGUACCGACAGAAAAAGCACCGGCUAACUACGUGCCAGCAGCCGCGGUAAUACGUAGGGUGCGAGCGUUAAUCGGAAUUACUGGGCGUAAAGGGUGCGCAGGCGGUUUUGUAAGUCAGAUGUGAAAGCCCCGGGCUUAACCUGGGAAUUGCGUUUGAAACUGCAAGGCUAGAGUGCAGCAGAGGGGAGUGGAAUUCCAUGUGUAGCAGUGAAAUGCGUAGAGAUGUGGAAGAACCCGAUGGCGAAGGCAGCUCCCUGGGUUG